UAUCCUUAACUCAAAGGAUUUAUAGUUCAAUCUUAACUUUACACUAGCUCUAGUGUUCUUUCAUCACUUUAUGUUGCUAACUCUAGCAAUCAUUGUUCUUUACUUUUCUUUUACUUUUGCCAUCUAUAGCAUUCUUGUUCUUUACAUUUCUUGUUCUUAUUGCCCCACUUUACUUUAACUUUACACAUAUUGUCACUUCCAUCAUUCUUUACAUCACCUUGGUUCUUUACCUCACACUAUCUCUAGUGUCAUUUCACUUUAACUUUAUCAAAUGCCACUCGAUCUAUGUCAUUGUGUCUCUCUGUUCUUUUGCUCACCUU
This 320-nucleotide long non-coding RNA is filed under the name Ananas comosus (pineapple). RNAcentral describes it as "long non-coding RNA (ACOM_LNC036975)". Lineage: Eukaryota; Viridiplantae; Streptophyta; Magnoliopsida; Poales; Bromeliaceae. The record is from RNAcentral.